RNAcentral lists this long non-coding RNA (10610 nucleotides) under Nicotiana tabacum (common tobacco). Its description in RNAcentral is "long non-coding RNA (NTAB_LNC004265)". Lineage: Eukaryota; Viridiplantae; Streptophyta; Magnoliopsida; Solanales; Solanaceae. The record is from RNAcentral.
UAUUUUACUUAAGUAAGACUAAUUAAUAAACGAAGUCGUAUUUUAGUCUCGCUCGCAGAGAAAGAAUAAAAUUUGGGUUCAAACGACCCAUUUUUAGGCCUAAUAACACCUUUCUUAAAAACUUAGGGACUAAUUGGCAAAAUACACAAAAAAAAAUACACAUUAGACCCUAGACCUACAAGACUAAUGCUAAAAAGAGAGAAAGAGAAUAGACGGGGGAACCACAAAAAAGCAGCAAUCCGCCGUUACAGGGACCUCCCUUUCCCCGAUCGGUCUUCAUCUCCAAAGAAGAAGACAAGCUUCUUUCCAUGGCACCCCAGCUUCUUCUUCCCUAAGAUCAGCAGCGCGAACCAAACACAAGCCCCCUCUCUCCCUGUUCUUCACCUUCUUGAGCAUUUGAACAAAGACCCAAGAAUGGCUGAACUUCAUCUGCAUCAUUCAACACAAGACACACCCAUCAGCAGUUAACCUAGAGACCUACCCUUAGCAGGAGCUACUGGAACACAAAAACGAAUCCCACUCCCACCCGUCCUCCUCCUCACGCCAGCGACUCAACCAAGCUCGCCGGGAAACAACCCAUAACACCAGCGACCUCCUUCAACAGCCUUCCACGACCACACGCACACACAUGGAUAGAGCAGCAACAAGAGGUCACUGAAACAAAGUGAGAGAUAGACGGAGGAAAAGUGAGGCAGUCCGGUCAAAGCUCGGCGAAGUUCCGUCGAGGUCGCGGUAAAUUUUCCGGUCGACAGCCAUCCAGCUAUCAAGCCUUUGUAAUUUCAACCCAGUUCGUUUUAUAUUAAAGGUCACAUUCUUGACAUUUUCUUCUUUCUUUUCUUUGCAAAGAUAUUGGUUUUUAAAUUGCUGAUUUGUUAUAGCGUUAUAGCGUUUGUUUCAACAGCCUUCCACGACGUUUGGACGCUAAUGUUAUAGCCUUUGUUUCUAUUGCUCUGUUGCAACGUUUGGAUUUUAGUUAUUAUCUUGAGUUUCUAAUAUCAUAAGAUAGAAUUGAAUAUGCUUAUAUUUAUUUAUUUUGGUUUAAAGGAUAUGACGAUUCUUAUUUGCCAAGGCAUGAUAUACUGUUGUUUUGAUGGACGAAAAUGAGCAAGAAUUUUUACCAAGUACCUUAUUGAUAAGAACAGAUUGAGUGGGGUAUAAAUAUCGUAGUUUGUUUUAGGCCCGUAAUUAAAUCAUCACAGCUACGGGUACGGUUCUCGUGACGUAGUUGUGACACUUAAUUUCGGACUAAUUUUAAAUAUGAACAUCCGUAGUUAAAUGUUUUUCCCUUUAAUAAAAUUGAAGUGUGCCAUUCAAUCACCUAGUCUAUGGCCAUCACAUAAAUACAAAAUUAGUAUAGAAGAUGCCUUGAACUUUCGUAGUUUGCUUUAGCCGCAUUAGUUGAAUAAUUGUCAUGGCUACGGGUACGGUUCCAGUGACGUAGUUGUGAUGCUGAAUUUCUAAAAAUCUGGGGGUACAUUUAUGUGACCCGGCCCCAAUUUUAUCUUGUUAUUAAAAUAAACACGUUGUAGAUCGUGGGUAUGGUUCAUGUGACAUGAUCCGCAAUAUGUAACACUAUUUAUUAAAAGCGGUUUAAAAGGAAUAAAAAUGCACAUAGGGCUCAAAGAUGUUUUAAAAUCAAAUAAAUAGGCCAAUAAUAACAGUUGAGCGACCGUGCUGAAACCUCGGAACUCGGGAAUACCUAACACCUUCUCCCGGGUUAAGAAAAAUCCUUACCCGAAUUUAUGUGUUCUCAGACAUAAACAGAGUCAAUUUCCUCGAUUCAGGAUUUUAAACCGGUGACUUGGAACACCAUAAAUUAUCCCAAGUGGCAACUCUGAAUCUAAUAAUUAAUCAUGUUUCGAUUAUCACUUAAAUUGGAAAAAACUCCCUUAUACCCCUUUUGGGUGUAGUAAAAAGGAGAUGUGACAGCUAUGGCGACUCUGCUGGGGAAAAGAACCCAGAACUUCUGGUUCAGGGUUCAAGAAUUCAAGCUUAGAAUAAUUGUUGUAUUUGGCUUUAUUUAUUAUCUGAUUUUAUUACAUGUUUGGGCCUAAUGUGCUAAAUGUUGCUUUUACCGCUUUGAUAUUAUUUGAACUGUAUAUAAACUGCUACGAAACCCCUUUCUUCUCUCUUCUGAGGAGUGCACGUUGGCAUGACUUCUUUCUGUUAGUGUCAUAUCCCAAAUUAGAACGAGGUUCAGAUAAGUUGCAAAUCCGGAUGAUCUUUUGGUUACCGGUACGCUGCCCCCCCCCCCCGGCUCGAGUUGUCCGCUCGGGUAUGCCAGGUCUAGAACAAUACACCCAGGUUUUAAACCUAGAAUAACUCAGCCUCAUGCUGGAUCCCUAGUAGGAACGCUUUUCUGCAUCAUGUGCAUUUGACUUUUGGGACUCAACAUAGGGGUUGGGUCCGUCUAGGACAAGUGUACCCAAAAAUAAAAAAAACAUCUUGAUGCAUCCUGUGUGCUACAUGUUGCAAUCUUCAAGGGCAAAACGGUCAUAUAGCAGACCAAUGAUAGUUGAGGGCAAAAAAGAAAAGAAAAAGAAAAAAAGAUGGUGAAGUGUGAAAGUAAAGCAAGUAUGACCCAAUUAUGUUUUCGGUCACAUUUUUGUUUAAAAUAAAAACAUGAAAAUUCAAAAAAAGAUUUUGCACUUUUUGAUCAUUUUCCGAAUAUCAAAAAAAAAUCAAAAAAAAAGGAAAAAGAAAAUCCAAAAAGAUUUUACAUGUUUCAUCAUUUUUUUUAAAAAAAAAAGACAAAAAGUAUAUGUUCUUCAAAUAAGUGUUUUUUUUAGUUCUCGCCCGUAUCCAAUCUGCCCGAACUACGCAUACUUGAUUCUCGUCUUUCGGGGGCGUGAUACGUAGGCAACCCACAUAGGGUCCAGUUUUCCUAGUGAGUUUAGGUUCUUGGCUUCGCGGGGUCUUAGCCAAAUCUUGCAUUUUAGCCACUUUUAGUCACAUAGGUUAAUUUUAGAAAAAUAGUCACAACCGUGUCUUGCAUGUGUCUAGUAAGCAAUGUUAUUGUCUCACAUGAUUUCAGUUUUUUCAUACCGGUAUGGAUCUACUUACCGGAGUUUGAGCAUGACAGAGCCCCAAGACCAUCUAGUCAGGAUCGCUCAUUCAGGAGUGGAUUAAAAGGAGAUUUUCUUUUCUUUUUUAUGUUUUGAGUCUGUGUUUCUUUUUUCGUCUUUUACCUUUUAGUUUUGUAUAGUAAUGUCGAGUUUUUUUUAUUAUUAUUGUACUUUCUAUUUUGCAUUUAAAAAGGUGUGUAAUAAAUCAAAAAUCCAAAAAAAAGAAGAAGUGAUUUUGCGUUUUAUAUUUCCGUUAGAAGUUUUCUUUAGAAUACUAAUUUUAGAAAUGAAAAAAAAAUAUUUCUAUUGGUUUUCCUUAGGAAGUUAAUAUUUAGAGCUCAAAAUAAAAUAAAAAAAAUUGUUUUUAUAUUUCCUUUAGUAUAUUAAGACUAAAAAUCCAAAAAUAAAAAAAGAGAUUUUUCUUUUAGUACCUUUUUAAAAGUUUUCUUUUAAGAUAUUAAUUCCAAAAAUCCAAAAAAAAAAAGAUUUUCUUUUGAGGUUCUUCUUUGGGAAAUUAAUGAAAAAACGAAAAAAAAAUCUUUUUAUUUUCAUUAGAACUUUAGGAUAUUGUACAUAGAAGAAAAAAAAGAACACACUUUAUCUUUUGUUUAAAGUUUCUUCCUUUAAGCAAUCAUAAUUGAAAUCCAAAAAUAUUUUGUUGCUUGUUUCGAAAUCUUGUGUCAAGAUAUCAAACGAAAAUUCAAAAUAUUUUUCUGUGGUUUAUUCUUUAGAUUUCCCUCCUAAAAAAAGGGAAUCAAAAAAUAUUUUUCUCUUCUAGGGUUUUUUUCCCUUAAUAAUUUUCCAUAGAGUAUUUGUUUAAAAAAAAAAGAAUAUAUGCUCGUUAAGCUUUAGUCUGGAAUAGGUCAUAGAACAUUAAGUCUAGAAAAUUCAAAAAAAAGAAGGAUUUUCUUCUUUUAUUUCUUUUUUCUCAUCAGAGUAGUCAUUAAGGUGAAUAAGAAAAGAAAAGAAAAGGAGAAUGUUAGUUUGUUUACUUUAUUCUCGAUCUUCCCGAACUACGCAAAGAUCUGAUUCAUGUGGCGCCAUGAUACGUAGGAAACCUACAUAGAGUUCGAUCGAAUUAUUUUUUUAUUAUUAAAUAAAAAAUAAAAAAAAGAAAAGAAAAAAAGAGAGAUGAAAUCAUGGGAUGUGAGAAAUGAGAGGGAAGAAAAGAGCGAUAAUCAGAAAGAAAGAAAAAAAAGAAGGAAAAUGAGCGAGCUAAGAAGUGCGAGAAAAGAAAAGAAAAGAAAAGAUUCAAAUGGACAAAUUGGGAUGAUGCCAAGUGACCUUGUGACCCUCGAAGUCAUUCUUGAACCGUUAAUUUUUGCUAGGUGCAUUGCACGUAAUGUGAUAUUUUUAGCUGUUAAAUGCCCUAACGCUAACAUGAUGACUUCAUUUGUUCCUCUUUGUUCUCCUCAUUAUAGCAGAAGGGUAGUUGGUUUGUGGUUCUUAAAGUGGUAACUUUUCUCUACAACAUAAAGUUGAAAGGCAAUGGCAGAUGACAACAGAACUGAGUUAGUUGAUACGGGUGCCCAAAAGCAAUUGGUUGAACAGGACAAUGGGUUGAUUGAAGAGGUGAUGAUGUUAAGACAACACAUGGCGGACAUGUAUCGGACUUGGAUGACUGGGAAGGCACCACCCCCGCCACCACUUACCUUCCUAGAUGUUACCCUUACCCAAACUCCGGUCAUAGUGCCAGAUGAUUCCCCAUACUCUCCAUAUUUUCCCGUUUAUCACAGCUUUCCCAACCACCCUAGUAGCUCCAUCACUCAUCCUCCAAUUACCUUUCCCAAAAAUUGCCCUCAUGUCUUAUCCACUAUCCUCAAUAAUGAACACUCACUCAAAGCUCAUGAUGCCCAAUAUUACCACGCAGAGGUUGCCCACAAAGUUCCUGACUCAUACAAGCAGAGCCCUCGAGAUGAGCCUCAUGCUGAAAAUGAAAAGAUCACAGGAAAAUAAGGGCGAGAUGAGAUAUCCAGGAAGCUGAAAAGCAUAAAACAGUCCUUAAAGAACAUGCAAGGGAUGGGAGACCAGGUUAACAUGUCUUACAAAAAAUUGUGUAUGUUCCCUGGCGUUCUCCUGCCCGCGGGGUUUAAAGUGCCAAAGUUUAACUUGUAUGAUGGGUGUGAAGAUUCGGUAGCCCAUUUGAGGGUUUAUUGCAGUGAAAUGAGAAGUGUUGGCGAGAACGAUAAUUUGUUGAUGGCGUAUUUCAGUAAGAGCUUGACUGGGGCAGCUUUGGAUUGGCAUAAUCGUCAAGAUGUCGGUAAGUGGCCUACAUUGGGCGACAUGGCUCAAGAUUUUGUUCGACACUUUCAAUACAAAUUAGGCAUUACCCCAGACCGCUCCUCCCUAUCUAAAAUGGAAAAGAAGCCGGAGGAAAGCUUUAGGGAGUUUGGGCUCAGAUUAAGGGAGCAAGCUACUCGAGUCAGCCCCCCGAUUGAUGAAGAAGAAAUGGUUGAGCUUUUCCUACAAGCCUAGGGGCCCACCUACUUCCGUCAUUUGAUCUCGGACUUGGGAAAACCUUUCAAUGAUGUGGUAAAAAUGGGGGAGAUGGUAGAGAAAGAAAUCAAGUCAGGCAAAAUCAUGAGUUAUUCUGCAUUGAAAGAUACUACAGAAGACAUUCAGAACAUCUUAGUAAGUCUGGGUGGAAAAAGAGAAAUAGAAAAGAUGUUGUUGAGCCCCGCCAACGACGGGAUCCAGUGGGCAUUCCUGCUCAACGCUUUCAACCUCAAUACCGACCCAAUGAACAUCCCCAAACUCCACACAAUCCACCCCAGUAUUAUCCGCCGAACAACAUCCGGCCAUCUGUCCAACCACUAGGUCACUCCUUACGGCGAGCGCCAGCACCGCAUAAUGCAUUUUUGCCCUCACAGCAUUGUCGAGCAUCCAACAACCCUAGAAAACUGGGUCAUGAAGGGAAACAAAAGCAGAGAAAUAGUUUCACGCCAAUCAGGGAGACCUACACGAGCUUAUUUGAAAAGUUAAAGCAUUUUGGCCUGAUCAAGCCACUCCUCAGCUAUACUCCGGACCCAUAUGCAAAAGGUUUUAAUCCUACUGUACGGUUCAUGUACCACUCUAAUGUACAAGGGUAUAGCAUUGAAUAUUGUCGUGCUUUGAAAAGGGAAAUAGAAAGAAUGAUUCAAGAAGGGGCAAUUGUGAUCAAUGACGGCGACAGGGAGCAUGCGAAUUCUCUUGGGAACUUGCUGACUGAAUAUAAUGAUAUUGAAGUUGGUAAUGGUCUUGGCAAUAUUGAUGUGGAACUCGGUGGCUAAGAUGUUGUGCUUGGUAAUUGGAAAGACACUCCAUCUCUUGGCUAGCUGGGGAGGACUCUUGGUGGUUUAUUUUGUUGUCAUUUCUGUUGUCCGGGUUAUCUUCAGGGUUGUAAUCCGGAUAUUGUCUUGUGAAUCAAACCCUUCUAUCCUUUUAUUUUUCCUAGUUCCUUUAGUCGUAGUAACUCAUUUAGUGUUAUCUAGGUUUGUGCCAGGGUUGUACCCCAGUUUAUUUUGCUUGUUUUGUUGUUCAAACCCUUUUACCGUCUGUCUAAUGCAAUUUUCUAUAUUUUGUUAUUUCUAGCCAUUUUUCUUUAGUUCUCUUCUCCUUUUAUAGUUCUUUUCAUGUUGGUUCUAGUGACAUGACAUGCACGUAUAAUUCUAGGCCUAGUCUUAAAAGUUAGCCUAAUCAUGAAGCAAGGAAACAAUUUUGAAGAUGAUAGGGACAUUUAAGGGAAGUAAGUAAAGGGAUUUUUGAGCAUUUGAAGCCCGAACCAUGUGAAACUGGGGCAGAUAAUUGGGAAAGUUAAUGGGACGACAAGAAUUUGUUACAAGAGAGCGUGUCCCAAUAAUUUGAAGCAAGAAACUUUGAGUUCAAGUGCAUCUCAAGUUACAAGAUAAAGUCAAGAAACUUUUCUCCGAAUUGAUGGAGGAUAUCCAUUGUGAAGAGGGAAUCACCCAACGAGGGUUCUGUAUUUGACAAGGCGCUAACGAAAAGUGGAAGGCAUAUCAGUAACAUCAAUGCCGAAGCCGCAAAAGAAAUAUUGUGCAUGAUCUUCAAUUUUCAUUUCAAGUUGCAUGUGUUGUACUUGGCAUUUUCAGGGAUUGGGAGGCCCUCUUUCAGCUACCUAAACACUUAUACCAUUUGAUACCCUUUUGAGCCUGUACUAAUUUCAUUGACCUUCCCUCUUUUGGAAUCAAGUUAGAGUCAUGCGAAAAAAGAAAAAAGUGUAUGCGCCAUAGGUUUAUUUUAAAAGGGUUCAUUCCAAAAGGAAAAUUCAAAAUAAAGAAAAAAAGGGAAAAGAAAAAGAAAAGAAAGAGAAAAAGAAAGAAAAGAAAAAAAAAGAGAAAAAGAAAAGAAAAGGAAAAGAAAAAUAGCAACAACAAAUUGUAUCUUUGUGAACUACGUUUGACCUUAUUCUUGUCACCACAAGACACGUAGGCAGCCUUACGGUUCGGUNNNNNNNNNNNNNNNNNNNNNNNNNNNNNNNNNNNNNNNNNNNNNNNNNNNNNNNNNNNNNNNNNNNNNNNNNNNNNNNNNNNNNNNNNNNNNNNNNNNNNNNNNNNNNNNNNNNNNNNNNNNNNNNNNNNNNNNNNNNNNNNNNNNNNNNNNNNNNNNNNNNNNNNNNNNNNNNNNNNNNNNNNNNNNNNNNNNNNNNNNNNNNNNNNNNNNNNNNNNNNNNNNNNNNNNNNNNNNNNNNNNNNNNAAAAUUCAAACAUGCAUGAGUAACAAGAUCUAGCAUAAGUCUUACCCCAAAGAAAUAUAAGUUGGCUUUGAAGUUUUCAUUCUUAGGAUAGGAUUCAAUUUGAAAUAUUCAGGACCCUCCUGAAUAAUGGGACCUAGCUUUAAGAUUUUCAUUAGAUAACAAGAUUUAGCGUAAGUUCUGCUGUAGGGAAGUAUAAUUCAGCCUUAAAAGCUAUCACUCUUAAGAUAAGACUUGAUUUUGAUUUUCAGGACCUCCUAGAUAAUGGAUUUAGUUUUAAGACCCUCAUAGAUAACAAGAUUUAGCGGAAGUCAUACCUUUAGGAGAUAUAACUUAGCUUUAAAACUAUCAUUUAACUAGGAGUUCUCAGGACCUUCCUGGAUAAUGGGAUCUAGUUUUAAGUUUUUACGACCUUCAUAGAUAAGAAGAUUUAGCGUAAGUUUUACCUUUAGGAAAUAUAAUUUAGCUUUGAAGUUGUCACUCUUAAGAUGUGAUUUAAUUUUAAAUUUUCAGGGCCUUCCUGGACAAUGGGAUUUAGCUUUUAAAUUCUUAGAGCUUUUGGGUACCAUGAUUCGAUUAACACUCACAAAUGUUCCCGAUAUCAAACUGGGGCAGAAAAAUUUCUUUUGUUUUGUCUGUUUUGUUGUGAUCAGGUUCAAAGGCAGCAGUUUCAGAGGAGUCAAAUCGAGUUCGGCAAUCAGGCACCCACCUAGAGAACAAAGGGAAAACAUCAAUGUUCAAAGGAAGAUAGCAAUCAAGAACCCACCUGGAGAACAAAGAGAAGCAGUUCAAGUUUCAAGGAAAGCAAUUUAAGUGUUGGUAAUCAGGAGCCCACCUGAAGAACGAAGGGAAACAACAAUUCAAGUGUUGGUAAUCAGGAGCCCACCUGAAGAACGAAGGGAAGCAGCAAUUUAAGUGUUGGUAAUCAGGAGCCCAACUGGAGAACGGAGGGAAGCAGUUCAAAUACAUAAGUUGAUGAAAGAUGUGAGUUGCUCAAGACAUGACUGAAGUCAAAAGCAUGGUGUGUCCGGUCUUGAUCCGAAAAGCUGAAGAAGGAUGAACUAGCACCUGCAACUAGCAAGCGUCAAGGCUCAAAUCUAAAGUCUGCAUGAAGAACCACUCAAGACUCAAGAUCAAGCUUCAGAAGACUUAUAGAUAAGAAUCUUGUAACUCGUAGUUGAUAGGCUUAGCUAGUCUUUUUCAUGUUUUGAUUUUUGAUGUAACAUCAGGACCGCGGACCGGAACCUCGACGGAACGGCACGUCGACCGACUCUCCACCUCGGUAUACUCCAUCAUCUCACUCACAUCUGAAUUACACGUGGUCUGAGUCCUUUAUAACCAAGGAUAUGUAGGCAGCUCAAAUACCAGGGUUCGAUCACAUUCCCCUUUUCUCUUAGUUUUGGUCUUCUUAAAUAAGAGUCGGGUCAAAAAACAUGUCUAGUCGUUCUUUGUCCGAAAACUCUUCGCGUUUCCAGUCAAAGAGGGGCAGCUGUAGACAUGUGAGUUUUGACCCUCCACAACAUUUUUUUAUAUUUUAGAACGUAAAUAUUUAAUUUAGGCCUAAUAUAGCUAUUUCAACUAAUUUUUACUCUUUUACUUUAUUUUAUUACAAGAAAAGAAAAAUUACAAAAAAUAGUUUCAUUAAUAUUUUGUAGCAUUUUUAAUCUUGAAAAAUACCAAAAAUAGUUUGGUUUUAACGUUCAGUCUUAUUUUAACAGUUAUUUUACUUAAGUAAGACUAAUUAAUAAACGAAGUCGUAUUUUAGUCUCGCUCGCAGAGAAAGAAUAAAAUUUGGGUUCAAACGACCCAUUUUUAGGCCUAAUUUUUGAACCUAGCCCAUAAUCCCCAAGCUCCCCUGAGCCCAAUACCCUUAACACCUUUCUUAAAAACUUAGGGACUAAUUGGCAAAAUACACAAAAAAAAAUACACAUUAGACCCUAGACCUACAAGACUAAUGCUAAAAAGAGAGAAAGAGAAUAGACGGGGGAACCACAAAAAAGCAGCAAUCCGCCGUUACAGGGACCUCCCUUUCCCCGAUCGGUCUUCAUCUCCAAAGAAGAAGACAAGCUUCUUUCCAUGGCACCCCAGCUUCUUCUUCCCUAAGAUCAGCAGCGCGAACCAAACACAAGCCCCCUCUCUCCCUGUUCUUCACCUUCUUGAGCAUUUGAACAGAGACCCAAGAAUGGCUGAACUUCAUCUGCAUCAUUCAACACAAGACACACCCAUCAGCAGUUAACCUAGAGACCUACCCUUAGCAGGAGCUACUGGAACACAAAAACGAAUCCCACUCCCACCCGUCCUCCUCCUCACGCCAGCGACUCAACCAAGCUCGCCGGAAAAUAACCCAUAACACAAGCGACCUCCUUCAACAGCCUUCCAUGACCACACACACACACAUGGAUAGAGCAACAACAAGAGGUCACUGAAACAGAGUGAGAGAUAGACGGAGGAAAAGCGAGGCAGUCCGGUCAAAGUUCGGCGAAGUUCCGUCGAGGUUGCAGUAAAUUUUUUAACAGCCAUCCAGCUAUCAAGACUUUGUAAUUUCAACCCAGUUCGUUUUAUAUUAAAGGUCACAUUCUCGACAUUUUCUUCUUUCUUUUCUUUGCAAAGAUCUUUGUUUUUAAAUUGCUGAUCUGUUAUAGCGUUAUAGCGUUUGUUUCAACAGCCUUCCAUGGCGUUUGGACGCUAAUGUUAUAGCCUUUGCUUCUAUUGCUCUGUUGCAACGUUUGGAUUUUAGUUAUUAAUCUUGAGUCUCUAAUCUCAUAAGAUAGAAUUGAAUAUGCUUAUAUUUAUUUAUUUUGUUUUAAAGGAUUUUACGAUUCUUAUUUGCAUGAUAUACUGUUGUUUUGAUGGAC